This 492-nucleotide ribosomal RNA is filed under the name uncultured bacterium. RNAcentral's name for it is "partial 16S ribosomal RNA". It matches the Rfam family "Bacterial small subunit ribosomal RNA", at positions 29 to 507 of the family's 1533-position model. The record is from RNAcentral.
AGUGAACGCUGGCGGUAGGCCUAACACAUGCAAGUCGAACGGCAGCACAGUAAGAGCUUGCUCUUACGGGUGGCGAGUGGCGGACGGGUGAGGAAUACAUCGGAAUCUACUUUUUCGUGGGGGAUAACGUAGGGAAACUUACGCUAAUACCGCAUACGACCUACGGGUGAAAGCAGGGGAUCUUCGGACCUUGCGCGAUUGAAUGAGCCGAUGUCGGAUUAGCUAGUUGGCGGGGUAAAGGCCCACCAAGGCGACGAUCCGUAGCUGGUCUGAGAGGAGGAUCAGCCACACUGGAACUGAGACACGGUCCAGACUCCUACGGGAGGCAGCAGUGGGGAAUAUUGGACAAUGGGCGCAAGCCUGAUCCAGCCAUACCGAGUGGGUGAAGAAGGCCUUCGGGUUGGAAAGCCCUUUUGUUGGGAAAGAAAAGCAGCAGGUUAAUACCCCGCUGUUCUGACGGUACCCAAAGAAUAAGCACCGGCUAACUUCGCG